GAUGAACGCUAGCUACAGGCUUAACACAUGCAAGUCGAGGGGAAACGAUAUUGGAAGCUUGCUUCCGAUAGGCGUCGACCGGCGCACGGGUGAGUAACGCGUAUCCAACCUGCCCACCACUUGGGGAUAACCUUGCGAAGGUAAGACUAAUACCCAAUGAUAUCUCAAGAAGACAUCUGAAUGAGAUUAAAGAUUUAUCGGUGAUGGAUGGGGAUGCGUCUGAUUAGCUUGUUGGCGGGGUAACGGCCCACCAAGGCGACGAUCAGUAGGGGUUCUGAGAGGAAGGUCCCCCACAUUGGAACUGAGACACGGUCCAAACUCCUACGGGAGGCAGCAGUGAGGAAUAUUGGUCGAUGGGCGAGAGCCUGAACCAGCCAAGUAGCGUGCAGGAUGACGGCCCUAUGGGUUGUAAACUGCUUUUAUAAGGGAAUAAAGUGAGCCUCGUGAGGCUUUUUGCAUGUACCUUAUGAAUAAGGACCGGCUAAUUCCGUGCCAGCAGCCGCCGUAA
RNAcentral lists this ribosomal RNA (508 nucleotides) under uncultured bacterium. RNAcentral describes it as "partial 16S ribosomal RNA". It matches the Rfam family "Bacterial small subunit ribosomal RNA", at positions 28 to 523 of the family's 1533-position model. The record is from RNAcentral.